UGUCACACAUCCAUCACAGCUAUAAAAUUUAGAGGAGAAAAUCAUACUGGCACUGUGCAGCUGGAGAAAUUUGCAGAGAGAAGUACUGUUUGGAGAUGAAGGAUUCGGAGGAGGGUUUAGAAAUAAGAUACUCGCUUCAACACCUGGCAGAAAACAAAAGAAAAAUGUAACUUUGCAAAAUGCUCUUGGAGAUGGUAUCCACUUUGCCUUUCUCAGGGACUAUGCAAAGGCCUCUCAAUCAAGAGCUUACCUAUAUGACUAGUCUCACCAGCCAGAUUGCUGUAUUUGAAUAUCCUCCAUCUCCAGCUUCUGAAACGAGAAUUACAGGAGGACCACCGUACCCACCCAGCAUGCUUGAGUUCUGAGAAUCUUAACUCAUAUUUUCAUACUUAGGAGUACUUUAGGCACUGAGUCAUCUCCCUAUACAAGAUCAAGUUCUACUUGGUUGUUUUGCAGAUGAACAUCUGACAUUUUGAAUCACUUAACCAAGUCUACAUACAUAGAAAAUCAUGGGUCUUGGUCAUCGUGGAUUGAAGCCCUAUACCUUAUCAUUUCUUUUUAAAGAAAGAAUAGAAACAGACAGAGUAAGACUGUUAUCCUAAAUAUAAUAACAGCAAGUG
This is a long non-coding RNA of Arvicola amphibius (Eurasian water vole), 620 nucleotides long. RefSeq lists it as uncharacterized. The record is from RefSeq and is a predicted model, not a curated record. Lineage: Eukaryota; Metazoa; Chordata; Mammalia; Rodentia; Cricetidae. The transcript is spliced from 3 exons.